AACGAACGCUGGCGGCAGGCUUAACACAUGCAAGUCGAACGCUCCGCAAGGAGAGUGGCAGACGGGUGAGUAACGCGUGGGAACGUGCCUUUUGGUUCGGAACAACUUCGGGAAACUGGAGCUAAUACCGAAUGUGCCCUUCGGGGGAAAGAUUUAUCGCCAAAAGAUCGGCCCGCGUCAGAUUAGCUAGUUGGUGGGGUAAUGGCCUACCAAGGCGACGAUCUGUAGCUGGUCUGAGAGGAUGAUCAGCCACACUGGGACUGAGACACGGCCCAGACUCCUACGGGAGGCAGCAGUGGGGGAAUCUUGGACAAUGGGCGCAAGCCUGAUCCAGCCAUGCCGCGUGAAUGAUGAAGGCCUUAGGGGUUGUAAAAAUUCUUUCGUCGGGGACGAUAAUGACGGUACCCGAAGAAGAAGACUCCGGCUAACUUCGUGCCAGCAGCCGCGGUAAU
RNAcentral lists this ribosomal RNA (452 nucleotides) under uncultured bacterium. Its description in RNAcentral is "bacterial SSU rRNA". It matches the Rfam family "Bacterial small subunit ribosomal RNA", at positions 29 to 524 of the family's 1533-position model. The record is from RNAcentral.